Molecule: ribosomal RNA, 506 nt
Filed under: uncultured Glomeraceae
Lineage: Eukaryota; Fungi; Glomeromycota; Glomeromycetes; Glomerales; Glomeraceae
Description: SSU rRNA
Rfam family: Eukaryotic small subunit ribosomal RNA
Source: RNAcentral
AGCAGCCGCGGUAAUUCCAGCUCCAAUAGCGUAUAUUAAAGUUGUUGCAGUUAAAAAGCUCGUAGUUGAAUUUCGGGAUCAAUUAAUUGGUCGUGCCUCUGGUACGUACUGAUUUUAUUGGUUUCUCCCUUCUGACGAACCAUGAUGUCAUUAAUUUGAUGUCGUGGAGAAUCAGGACUGUUACUUUGAAAAAUUAGAGUAGUUAAAGCAAGCUAACGCUUGAAUACAUUAGCAUGGAAUAAUGAAAUAGGACGUUUUAUCCUAUUUUGUUGGUUUCUAGGAUCGACGUAAUGAUUAAUAGGGAUAGUUGGGGGCAUUAGUAUUCAAUUGUCAGAGGUGAAAUUCUUGGAUUUAUUGAAGACUAACUACUGCGAAAGCAUUUGCCAAGGAUGUUUUCAUUAAUCAAGAACGAAAGUUAGGGGAUCGAAGACGAUCAGAUACCGUCGUAGUCUUAACCAUAAACUAUGCCGACUAGGGAUCGGAUGAUGUUAAUUUUUAAUGACUCA